Molecule: ribosomal RNA, 465 nt
Filed under: uncultured bacterium
Lineage: Bacteria
Description: partial 16S ribosomal RNA
Rfam family: Bacterial small subunit ribosomal RNA
Source: RNAcentral
CUACGGGGCGCUGCAGUGAGGGAUUUUGCGCAAUGGGGGAAACCCUGACGCAGCAACGCCGCGUGAGUGAAGAAGGUCUUUGGGUCGUAAAGCUCUGUCAACAGGGAAGAAGUUAUUAAUGUUUAAUAGAUGUUAGUAUUGACGGUACCUGUGAAGGAAGCACCGGCUAACUCCGUGCCAGCAGCCGCGGUAACACGGGGGGUGCAAGCGUUAUUCGGAAUUAUUGGGCGUAAAGGGCGCGUAGGCGGUUUUAUCAGUCAGAUGUGAAAGCCCGGGGCUCAACCCCGGAAGUGCAUUUGAAACAGUAAGACUUGAGUACGGGAGAGGAGAGCGGAAUUCCUGGUGUAGAGGUGAAAUUCGUAGAUAUCAGGAGGAACACCGGUGGCGAAGGCGCCUUUCUGGACCGAUACUGACGCUGAGGUGCGAAGGCGUGGGUAGCGAACGGGAUUAGAUACCCGGGUAGUC